AUAAUCAGUAGUUUUUUAAUUGAAAACUUGUAUGAAAGGUUUAACGAAAUAUUAACUGUUUCAAGUAAAUUUUUGUAGAAAUUAAUUUUUUAAUUAAAAAGUUAAAAUAAAAUUAAAAGACGAGAAGACCCUAUAGAAUUUUAUAUAAUUAUUAUUUAUAGUUUAUUUAUAAAAUUUAAAAUUUAAAAUUUUAUUAUAUUUUGUUGGGGUGAUAAUAAAAUUUUACAAUCUUUUAUUAUUUUUAAACAAUGAUUUUUGAAUAAUUGAUCCAAUUUUAUUGAUUAAAAGAUUAAAUUACCUUAGGGAUAACAGCGUAAUUUUUUUUAGAGUUCUUAUCGAUAAAAAU
Molecule: ribosomal RNA, 346 nt
Filed under: Speolepta leptogaster
Lineage: Eukaryota; Metazoa; Arthropoda; Insecta; Diptera; Mycetophilidae
Description: partial 16S ribosomal RNA
Source: RNAcentral